Molecule: non-coding RNA, 275 nt
Filed under: Daucus carota subsp. sativus
Lineage: Eukaryota; Viridiplantae; Streptophyta; Magnoliopsida; Apiales; Apiaceae
Description: Bacterial small subunit ribosomal RNA
Rfam family: Bacterial small subunit ribosomal RNA
Source: Rfam by way of RNAcentral
UGGGGACCCGCUAUGCCCAAAGCGAGAGAAACCCCAUCCCUCUCUUUCCUUUUUUCGCCCUCAUAUCGCAACGGGGAAUCACUAGUAAUCACCGGUCAGCCAUACGGCAGUAAAUUCGUUCCCGGGCCUUGUACACGCAGCCCGUAACACUAUGGGAGCUUGCCAUGCCCGAAGUCGUUACCUUAACCGCAAGGAGGGGGAUGCCGAAGGCAGCGAUAGUGACUGGAGUGAAGUCGUAACAAGGUAGCCGUAAGCCGUAUUGGAAGGUGCAGUUG